UCAACCACCUCUUAUGUGUCUUGGAGUUUGAGGGAGGUGCAGUAGAGGAGAAGGCCUGAGUGACCCUUCAAACCCUAAUGCUAAUUAAGAAAAACAUAAUAAUCAUCGGGUUCCAUGACGGGAUCAUAGCCCUUAUUGAAAUCUAUGGCACAAGAAUGCCUUCGGUCAAGCCAUCAUCACUAUAGUGCUUAAGAACCUCGUAAUAGUUCAAGAAAUCCGAUAAAACUUUCUAGAAAAUAAUGGUGUCCUUGUCUAACGAGAAUUCGUUGUAGUCGACUAGCAAAAUUUAAUUUGAGUAAAAUAAAAAUAAAAAAAAAUAAAAAUCAUCAUUUUGCCUAUCGAUUUAGUGUUAAUAUCAUGUGCAACUUUUUCUAUCAGUAUAAUAAAUGAUGUUAACAAAUUAAAAUAAAUUAUUUUACUUUCAUAAAUCCCCGUCUAAAUUUCUGAAGUACAUAUACCGCAGUACUAAAAAGGUCAAUGAUCCCACCCCAUGUCAUAAUUACGAAUCCCCUCUCCAUCUCAGACUAUAAAAAUGUAAGCAAUUCCCGCGAUCGAGCGCUUCUCCUCUUCAGCCAUUUUUAGCGUUCUGGACUUCCCCUAGGGUUUCCUUCUUCCACCCUCCUCUUCAGAAGGGUGAUCUAGAUCCAGGAGCACUUCGAGAAUAUUUAUCUGGGUGUUUUUGAGGAGCUAAGCAAGUUCGGAAAAAUUGAAAGCCUAAAUGUUUGUGACAAUCUGGCUGAUCAAUUUGGUAUUCGACAUCCAAGAUGUUGGUAAUGUAUAUGUUAAAUUCAGGGAUGAGGAUGAUGCUGCAAAUAUACUAGUCAACCUGAAAGGAAGAUAUUAUGAUGGUGGUUUAAUAUUUAUGUGUUUGAUCUCAUGCUUAAUGCAUUUUGUCUCUUGUUUGUUAGUCUAUUACUUGUAUAUCAUAUAAUCUUUUUCCCUUUUUCACAAAUGGGGAUUCUAUUUGCCGGACAUCCUAUUAUUGUUUAUUUCUCCCCCGUUAAUGGAUUUCCGUGAAGCUACAUGUAGGCAACACAAGGAUAAUAUGCGUGUAACCAAGGUGGAUUCUGCAAUUUUAUUCACUUCAAACAAAUUAGCUGGGAGUUGAGUGUUAAGAUCCUAGGGUUUUAUCAUGGAAGAAAGAGGAGAAAAGAGGAUGAUCACUACGAGGGGAUCAGUCUCCUUGACUACUUCAAGGGGAUCAGCUUCAUAGGGUUUGUCAAAAAACUUAAUAAUAUUUCAUUAUCCGUCGAAAAGAAACGAUUACAUUACUAUUUAUAGAGUUCCACCUAGAGUUAACCAGGACUUGGACUCUUAAUAAUAAAUAAAUAUUAAAUAAACUUUUAUCUGACUCUAAUUGAACUAAAUAGACUUUAUAAACAUUAUUCAAAAGUUUAGAAAAUAAAAUAAUCAUAACAAUUUCUCUCAUUUCAAAUCAGCCUUGUUCUCAGAGCAACAUCAAGCUCAGGGAGUUUCUCUUUCAGCACUUCAGCCACAGGGUAUCUGUGGCGCAUCAUAACCCGUUGAUCAAGUACGAUCUCUAUUUCUUGAUAGUAUAAGCAAUAGGUCGGUCUUUCGGUGUUGUAGUCUUCUGAAAACCCUCUCCAUUCGAUGGCUAGUGACAGUUAUGACCUUACUUCCACGUCUUCCCUUUAGGAUCACCUGUUUUCCAUUAAUAAAAAAUUUCAUAAUUAGUUUAGAAAAAUUUUACGAAACAUCACAUAUGGUUAAUAGUCAUUCAAUUCAAAGCACCACUUCGAAGUCUUUUAAGGUUAGCAAAAAGAAGUCAACAAGCAACUCUUGGCCUUGCAAAGUUAGCUUAAUCUUUGAGCACUUGUUGUUAAAAUCUGUCCAUCGGCGACCUUUACUUCAAAUUUGUUACAAUCUUCGAUGUGAUAGGCCAAUCGAUCGACAACAUUACUGUUCGUAAAAUUGUUAGUGCUACUAGUAUCAAUCAAAACUAUAACAUAUUGAUGUUACAAAGUUCCUCCAACUUUCAUAGUUUGCAAGUUAGAGUAGUUGGCUAAUGCAUGCACUGUAUGUAUGAUAGGUCCAACAUCGUCAUCAGAAUCCAUACCUUCAUGUUCAGAGUCUACAUUGUUAGCUUCCGGUUCCGCCUCAAUUGGUUCAAUUAUAAGAAAUUGCUCUUGUUUACAUCAGUGCUCCCUACUCUACUUUUCAUCAUAGUGCCAGCACAAACCUUUCGCUAAUCUUUCCUUGAGUUCUUCUUGAGUUAGUCUUUGAGUAUUAGGGUUCUGGCUAGGAAUAGAUGGGGCGGGUGGCUUGCUGAUCAUCUGUUUGUUGUCACUUCUAUUCUGACGAUUUUUCAUACUUAUUUUUUCCUUAUAUAAACGUGCAAAUGAUAUCGCAGUGAUCAUUAUGCGGGGUUGACGAGCUUUGACUUCACAUCGAAUAUCUGGAUUAAGUCCUUCGAUAAAUGUGCCCACCAAUUAUCGUUUAGACCAAUCUUUGGCUUGAUUUGAUAAUCUUUCAAACCUGCUCUGAUAUUCCAAUACUGUAGAAGUUUAACGAAUUUUGACGAGCUGUCCAUCAACAUUCUCAUAUUCAGAUGGGCCAAAACGAACAAGAAGCUCUCUCUUGAACUGCUCCUACGAAGGAACUCCGUGGCAAGUUUCAUACCAAUCAUACCACUGGAUUGCAUCUCCGUCUAGUUGGAUUGAGGCUAUUUCUAUCUUGGAUUCUUCUGGGGUCCUGUGAAAGCGAAAUUUUUUUUUCUGCCUUAGAGAUCCAACUGGUCGAAAACCCAUCUUCCCAUCUCGGAAAUUCUACCUUAAUGCAUGGGUAGUUUGUCUCAUAAUCUUAGGGCCCUUUUCUUGUAUCUCCAGAUCUGUUCAACGUAGAACUUGAGCCUCCAUUUUAUUGAAAUUUGUUGAGGCUUUCCAGUAAGCUCUUUUUGAAAUCAUUAAGUAUUUUUUGCAACCGGUUUUCAAUUCUGAUUUCCAAUGCUUCCAUUUGUGCUUUCACUGAGUUAUCGUUAGUCAUUGCGUAAGACUACAAAUCUGUAAUCCCCAAUUCUUGUUUUUGGUGUCUGGUCAAGGGCAUCAAUACUGCGAUGAUCGGUGGCUGCGACGGUUGUGGCGGAACGAGAGGGGGUGGUUGAGUGGCCGAAGAUGCAAAGGAUGGUGGACUUAGUGGGCUGCGGCUGUGAUUGGUGGGUUGCGACUGGGAUUGCCCUGCUUCACUUUUUCUUUAUUUCCUACUGCGAUGGCAAUCAACGACUGUUGUGGUUGUUGGUGGAGAAGAGAAGGGGGGGGGGGGGGGUGGGUGCUGGCCGGGAAGCAGCGAUAGUGGUGGUCGUUAGCCGGAAGAAGAGGAAGCGGUUGUGGCACGGUUGGGAACAAUACUCUGUUUUUGUCACUACGAGAAGGGAAGGUUGUUGCCAGGGUUGAGAGGCAACAGUGGCGGUGCGGUUGAGAGCAAGAUCGCCGAGGGCGAGGAGUAGCAAAGGGUCGUCGAGGCUAGGCGCUGCUAGGGUGUCACAGACUUAACUGGUUUUUCCUAAGUCGUGUGGCACCCUUGCGUGUCCGUCCGUAAAGGUCAGCCUCCCCGAAGCCUCCCAUGAUCCCUUAGGACCUACAAAAGAGAAAACGGGUUAGAGAAAAUGCCUCACUCGGGAUCCACAAGCAAACAUUUCCGAAAACACUUCAUAGACAAUGCAAAUUACAAACCGACUUUACAAACUCUGAACAAUUGCACAACAAAGGGUCAAAAUGGUCCAUACAGAUAAACAAUCUACUCACAAGUGUCCACAUGACACAACCUUUAUUUACAAGCCUAAAGCGACCACCAAAUCUAACUAAAAUGGGACUAUUAAGCCUUCGAUCGUCCCUUUACAUGCUGUGCAAAGCAUGAACAUACCAAAAGACAUGGACAUACAUAAGCAUUACAUCAGACAUCCUAUUUAGAAGUUUGUCCGUGACAUUCUCCCCCACUUAUUCCUUCGACGUCCUCGUCGAAGCCUUUGCUGACACUGCAACUCCUCGCCUUUGCUGAGUCUUUAAUCUUCUACUCCAGCUGCAAUGUGUCUCUUGGCUCCCAACUGCUCUCCACUACUGUUUUUGAGUAAUCGAACCUUUGAUCCGCCAUGCUGCUUCAACUCGCCAAUGACUCUGACUCUAGUGUGGGGUUGGCUGAGUUGUGUUGAUCCCUGUUGGCUCCUAUAGAUCCUCCAGAUGAAGGAAAAGACCAUCCUUACUAUGCGUCAAUCUCUCAAAUGCCUCAUGCUGCUUGAACUAGGUGGAUGUUUGUUGGAACUUUAAUGAGCAUCGCCUCGCAAACUUCUGAAGCUUUAACAAGCGAGUUGCUCGUGGGCACACCAUCUGCAGGCGAGUCAUCGGGGGGCAGA
Musa acuminata AAA Group (dessert banana) is the source of this 4366-nucleotide long non-coding RNA. RefSeq lists it as uncharacterized. The record is from RefSeq and is a predicted model, not a curated record. Lineage: Eukaryota; Viridiplantae; Streptophyta; Magnoliopsida; Zingiberales; Musaceae. The transcript is spliced from 4 exons.